CCUACGGGUGACUGCAGUGGGGGAUAUUGGACAAUGGGGGAAACCCUGAUCCAGCGACGCCGCGUGAGUGAAGAAGUAUUUCGGUAUGUAAAGUUCUUUCAGCAGGGAAGAAAGACAUGACGGUACCUGACCAAGAAGCCCAGGCUAACUACGUGCCAGCAGCCGCGGUAAUACGUAGGGGGCAAGCGUUAUACGGAAUUACUGGGUGGAAAGGGAGCGUAGACGGUGAUGCAAGUCUGGAGUGAAAGGCGGGGGCCCAACCCCCGGACUGCUCUGGAAACGGUGUAACUUGAGUGCAGGAGAGGGAAGCAGAAUUCCUAGUGUAGCGGUGAAAUGCGUAGAUAUUAGGAGGAACACCAGUGGCGAAGGCGGCUUACUGGACUGUAACUGACGUUGAGGCUCGAAAGCGUGGGGAGCAAACAGGAUUAGAUACCCUGGUAGUC
This 443-nucleotide ribosomal RNA is filed under the name uncultured bacterium. RNAcentral describes it as "partial 16S ribosomal RNA". It matches the Rfam family "Bacterial small subunit ribosomal RNA", at positions 338 to 795 of the family's 1533-position model. The record is from RNAcentral.